This 103-nucleotide small nuclear RNA is filed under the name Procavia capensis (Cape rock hyrax). The record is from RNAcentral. Lineage: Eukaryota; Metazoa; Chordata; Mammalia; Hyracoidea; Procaviidae.
GUGCUUGCUUCAGCAGCACACAUAAAAAAAUUGGGAUGAUACAGAGAUUAGCAUGGCCCUGAACAAUGAUAGCAUGCAAAUUUGUGAAGCAUUCUAUAAUCUU